GACGUAGGGCGCGAGCGUUGUCCGGAUUUAUUGGGCGUAAAGAGCUCGUAGGCGGUCUGUCGCGUCGGCCCGUGAAAACCUGCGGCUUAACUGUGGGCUUGCGGUCGAUACGGGCAUCACUGGAGUUCGGCAGGGGAGACUGGAAUUCCUGGUGUAGCGGUGAAAUGCGCAGAUAUCAGGAGGAACACCGGUGGCGAAAGGCGGGGUCUCUGGGCCGAUACUGACGCUGAGGAGCGAAAGCGUGGGGAGCGAACAGG
RNAcentral lists this ribosomal RNA (257 nucleotides) under uncultured bacterium. RNAcentral describes it as "partial 16S ribosomal RNA". It matches the Rfam family "Bacterial small subunit ribosomal RNA", at positions 524 to 776 of the family's 1533-position model. The record is from RNAcentral.